CAUCCUUCGUUUUUAGCAAUACCUUUUUUGCUUAUUAUAUAAAUAUUUUCUAGCUUAAGGGUCACAGAAUUUGGUUCGGAAUUGCACUGUGCUGGACCAAAUCAAACGCUGCUUUUACCUUAAGCAGUGUGGAUACAAACGGAGAAUUCACUAAGAAAUACUACUGUGGAAAAAUACACAAAGAGUAAUGUCAACAUUUUAUUGGUGCUGAGGUAGCUUGCCUUAUUGUGGAAUAGUCAGCCAAGAUAUUUGCACAGUUUGACUAGUGAUAAUUCUCACUUUUAUUGAGAUUUUACACAGAAGGAGCAAGGAAAUAGCAAGCAGUAUCAUCUACACAUCACAGCAUAUCCAGGUUACACAGCAGCAGCAGCAAAUGCCAACAGAUACAGUAUGGAGCAGUUGCAUAGAACCCCAAAGCUUAGUCAGUCACACAAGCAGUGUGAGUCGUGCAGGCAUCAGAGGAAUUGUAUUAAAAAGGUGAGUAUUAAAAAGGAGAGAGUAUUAGAUUUAAUGUAAACCCUCUUCUGACAAAGGGGAAGGAUGGCUGCCAGUAGAUACAGGGGUGGUGAGUGACAGGAUCAAAUCUUUCACCACUUUACUGAAUUUAAGGAUUGUGAUUUUGUCCAUGGAUGUGAUUUUGUCCUAAGGAUGUGAUAGACCGGUCUGUUGGCUACUUGAAUAGGAAGAUGCUGCCAUGUCUCAUUAGGUGCUAAGGUGGAUUUUGUCCGAUUGAGUUUAUGCUCACUUAGGAGGGAUCCAAUCACAGAUGAGUCCUCCAAGAGGCUACAGAUGGUCAUUUCAUGAGGAAAACAAACACACUUUUAAACAGAGGGCUGACAUCUAGAAAUUCAGAACUUAAUGAGUCUCACAGCUCACAUGAAUUACUGCAGGAGGAAAGUGAAAACAACAAAAAAAUAAAGAUUUCUUGCUUAAUUUUGGCAAAGGAAAUGGUGCAGCUCAUGUUAGUUUAGUAAAAUCAGCACCCACAGUUUCUAAGCAGUGAAACAAGAAUGAAUAUACAAUUAUAUUUGACUGCAGGACAAGAACACACAAUUGUUUUUCAUCUCUUUACAUUACAGAAACAGCUGCAAUUUUUAUUUUACAUUGUUUUCCCCCACUGUCAAUGCAUUUCUGCUGCUUGGAAAACUAAAUAAAUGGUUACAAAUGAGCCACAUCAGAACUUUUUUCAGACUAAGCUGCCAAGAAUAAAUAUCUCAGCGUUCUCUAGCUGUAUGUGACAGUUCAUGAGUGGCAAAGUUGAGAUCCAAAGUUUACCUGUAAGUAUUUUGCUUUUCUAAAGCCCCCUCAGUUCCCCUUCUGCUCUUCACAAACAUCUCCUCAUUCAGGUAUACCACAAAAAGAGCUUGUCCAUACAUGUGAAGACUCGCAUAAACAGUUCAUAAAAGAAGAGCUAAUGUUUGGGGUUGUUUUGUUGGUUUUUUUUGGUUUGGUUUUUUGUUGUUGUUGUUUUUGUUUUUUGUUGGGGUUUUUUUUGUUUUUUUGGGGGGUUUUUUUUGCAAAUUAUAGCUACAGAUUAAUGUGGAUUAUUUGAAAAAAAGAUAUUAGCAUUCCCUACUGAAUAUUCUGAAAUAAAUAAAAUGACAAGGAAUAGAUACAUUUCUGAAAGAUUAAAUAGUUCUACUUUGAAAAUCCACACUUCAGCUACAUCCAUGCUAACCAAACUGGAAAUAUCCCUACACUUGCAGCACUUACUGAUUGCUCUUAGACCAGAGCUGAUACAGAAGUAGUUGGUCUUGGUAUUUCUGAACAUAUGCUAUUGAUCCCUAUCUGAAUAAAGAAAUUUUUUGUUGGGAAGCGGGAGCAGAAGAGUAACAUGGCCAAAGUUUUAAAUGUUGUAAUUUCCCAUGUUUCUUAGUUACCAUUGUCCUACUUUGAUCUUUUCUUCUGCAAGCAAUGACACUUCAAGACCUGACACACAUUUUAAAGUUAUGAAUGUGGGUUUUGGAUAGGGAUUAUUUGAAGGAUUCCAGGGGAAAGGGAAUCUUCAGCAUGCUGCUGGGUGUAGCAAAAUGCUAAGCAACUUGCCAACCUGCUCAAUACUGUCCAGCCCACUACUCAUACAUGCAGCACAUAGGGGCUUUGUGGAACAACAUUGUCCACUUCCAAUUUCAGGAUCAAAAUUGCCAUUUGUGUCCACACACAACUUUCACUACUUGGUUUUGUAACUGCACAAAAUAUUGAAAAAAAUAGCUAGAAAUUUUUUGGCUUCAGGAGAACACUACUCAUAGGUGCACUGCCAUCUUCUGGGAGAAUCUAUUCAGUUUUGAAGCCAGAUGAAUUAGCUACUUUGUCCAGCUUCUUCCCAGUAUAGUGAAGAAGUUGUAUUCCAAAUAGCUGAUACUACAGUUAAAAGUUUUGAGUUUUCACUUUAUGAUAUCUUGCUUCAUUCAGCACCAAGAAACAAAUGUUAUUGAAUGCCAUAGUUAUGAGUACUAACUAAUACAUGGACUUCUGAGGAAAAUCCUUUUGAUGGCCACGGAAGGCAAGACAUCAUUUGUAAAACACCACUUUCAUACAAAGUGUUCAAGAUUUUUAGCUAUCAUCUCUGCCAGUCCUACUCCUACUCAGUAAUCCAAAGGAAAACAUUAAAAAGUGUCUAGGUUCAAUACACAGAUCUUCAUUACAAGUUAGAGAUAUAUUAACCUAUCUUCAAAUACUUCAAAUUACUUUUUAUCUAUUUUUUGCCUACUGAUGAACACUGACCCUCUGGAUCAGGCUAUUAAUAACCUGAUUUAUGACAUCUUCCAUACUUAAGCAGAUCAGCAGGAGAAAGCCUGCAUGCCUCAGAUGAAAAGCAAACACUCCAGUUAUUUUAAACAUCUUUUCACAAAAUAAUGUUAUCUUUCAUAGACUAGAAAAACACUGCCCAAAAUCUCCUGCAGAAAUCACAUUAAUUCAUUGAGUUUAAGGCUAAUAUAUACCAAAUCUCCACUUCCAGUGAGGUGGGUUACAGAAUUUCAAUCUACAGCGCAGAAGGAACCAGAGAAGAGAAACUGUUUAUUCCAACCUGUUUUGUGAGCAAAUGUUGUCAAGUAAAACAACGUGGUUAAAUCAAACUAUCUGUUUAAUUAAGCCUCAAAGUCCCAAAAUCAAACUGUCUGUUUAAUUAAGCCUCAAAGUCCCAAGUAAAAGUAUUUUUUACUGCUUAUACUUACAGGCCAUGGACAAGCUAAUUACUAACAUCUAUCCCCAGGAAAAGACAGAAACCAUAUUAUUGUCUAAUUUAUUUAUAAUCACCAAAGUCACCAAAUCUCUUAACUUAUCCUUUUUCUAUUCUACCUCUUUUGCCAUAGGCUGGAAAUAUGUCAGAUUGAGAGGAAUUGCAUUAGUCUGUGCUGAAUCUUGUAUUUCAUAUUUAUGCAAAUAAAUCAUUCCCAAGCCAGUUUAUCAGCUAAUGAUAAAUUCAGACUCUCAGUCAUUCUACCAGCAAUAACACUUGUCAAAGUUAAAGUAAAUUCUUUGUGCUGCAAUGAAACAAAAUGACUGGAAGGGCUGAUAAAUGCUGGUAAGCCCGGGACAUGAUGCACAGACCUGGGAUGUCAGCAAUUCCUUAGCUGCCACCACCUUGUCCAAACUCAGACUGGGACUAGCACAGAACAAGGUUUAUUUGCUUAGCAGCUGUCUGCAACUGGCUGCUUUUCUACAUCCCAUCUCUCACCUCCAGUGGAUCUCAGCUAAUGCUCCCCUCACUGUUUUGAAGGCAAAAGUGAAUCAAAACUAAUUAAGCUACAAUUAUGUUGUCUAACGUACAAACACUUCUGGGCUUUGUGUUACCUUCGUGUUCAGAGAGAUGUCCAGUGCAGGUAUUUUCUAAUCUGUGUUUACUCCACAGCUUAGUUUGAUCAUUUCUAGGAACACCUGCUAAGCUUGCAAGUACAAGAGUUAACUAAUGAAAAUGGCUGCUUGAUCUGACUCUUGUCUAAAAUGGACUGGGUGGAUGGACUGGGUGAUCCUGUGGGUCUUUUUCCAACCUUGGUGAUUCUAUGAAAAUCUUCCUUCUACUAAUAUCCACCCUGUCAAAAGGACCUCACAAAGAAUCACAGAAUAGAAUCAAAGAAUCAUUAAGGUUGGAAAAGACCACUAGGAUCAUCUAGUUCAACCGUCAGUCAUCACCAGUAUGCCCAUUAACCAUGUCCCUCAGAUAAUGGGCAUAAAAAGAGGCUCGUUGAUAUCAGUAAUGCAAUUGAUCUUCAGCACUGCCAAGGAAGUCUCAUGUAUGCAAACAGGAGUCCACAGAAAGAGGCAGAUGCUUCCCUGCAUGGUUCUUCCACACUGUACAUAGCCUCUGGAAAACUUACAACAGACAGACAGCCACAUUAGAGAGGUAUGAGCAUUUGAUUUGGGGUUGGGAGCGGAUUGGGAGGCAGGGGGUGAUAGAUCUCUUCCUGGGUUGUGAUGCACAGCAGAAUUAUGAUCGAAGUGUCCACGUGCAUUCAUGUCAAAUAAAAUGAACCAGUUCAAUUUGAAACUGGGACCAGAAGCCCUUCCAAGACCCAGGUAGUUUACUGGUGCUACACAUGUAUGGAAAUCAUUAGCUGAGCAUGUAAAACAAAUCCCUGAUUUUGUCAAAACUAACAGUCACACAACAACAGAGUAAAAGACAAUAGCUUUUUGCUAGCACUGAACAGAGUCCUGCUAUCCCAUAUCGUCUUCGGAAAAAUAAACAAUGGGGGAGGACUUUGGAGAAAAAUUUCAGUACAAAAGGGAGACAGAGACCGAGUAGAUCUGUUUUCCAGACAGAAUGAAGGUAAGCCAUUGCUCCCAUGCCUGGAAAGGCCAGAGUGCCCCAUGGGCUACCUUUAAUGUACUUCUCUGCACAAAGAUGCAGAAAUAAUAACCCUGAACAUGGGACCUAUCCAAAACCAAGUUUAUAUAAACAUCUCCCAGCCAUGUGAACCAGAAACAGGAGGAGUGGAGGAAGCUGUUCUUCAGGGAUUGCUAAAACUCACUGAGCAGAGAUGGCUGUGACUACACUGCAUCUUCUCCUUUGAUUUGCCCCUGCUCCUAACAGUGUUUUUAUGGGAGGGUCCAGAAGAAAUAAAGAUGCUCUGACUCAAGUUAUUCUCAAUUAUUCCAAGGCCCACAGUAUUCAUUAAGGAUGAACUUUAAAUAUGGGACACUACUGAUUUUUUAUUCUGUAUUGAAAGUGAAUUUCUUAUAUUCAUUAAAGAGUAUGGUUUUUGAGCUAAGUUAGGAAUAAGUUCUGGAAUCUUGUUUUACAGCCUCAGAAUUCAGAAAUGCAAUUUCAAAUAUUUACAAGGCUAUUUACAAAGACAUAGGCUGAAAUGUAGCUUCUAGUGAACUAAUUCAUGAGCUCAAAAUGAACAAAAAUGAUUGCUUGCUUUCCCACAGGAAGAAAUCAUCAAGUUUCACUUAUACUCCCUUUACUGUAUGAUUAACUAUUACUUCUGUACCAGCCAAGAGAUGACCUGCAGCAACCAUUCACAAGAGGCUAAAGUCAUAAAUAGAUACAGAUUCAAAAAUAUUUAUCUGAAAUAAAAACAACUCUCAGACCAGCAGAGCAACUUCACAGGUUUGCUUGGCACACACAAGUAUAUGAAGACAGAAUCUUCCCACAGUGCAGAGCCUAUGCAGUUUUCUCAGAUAAUUCAUGCAAGUAAAGCAAUGAGAUCUAACAGCUAAAAAAAAACAGUCAGAUACAGAUAUAUAAAUAUCGAUGCUAACAAUGAAUACAAGCUGGCUAUAUUUCAUUGACAGCAAAAAUAAAUGCAGCUCAGUUUUACUGGAACUUGCAAACAGGUUUGCAGAGUGAUAAUUAAACUCAGACCCCAACAUCAAUGGAAAACUCAAUUAUAUCAGCAUCAACAAAUCCUAUAUAAUGCAUCUAUGUUCAUAAUGGGAAGGAACUGCACCAUAGACAUGGAUAAAUAUAGAAUAAACCUAUAAACGAAAACGAUGGCAGAUAACUGCCUGAAUUGAAUGUGCUGGAUGCUACACCUUAUUAAUGCUUUAAGGACAUUAAAGUUAUCUCCUAUCAUCAGACCAUUCCCCAUAAAGUUAGGAAGCAGCUGGGACCACCCGUGGAGUGUAGCAGCCACCCUCUGAAAAUGCCAUCCACAGAAGCUGCAAUCCUCAGAACAUAAUCUUUUCCUAUUCCUCUGUAAAGUUCUCAAACAACUGUGGUGAUAAAGCAGAGCUCAAAAGUUUGACCUCCCACACUAACUCAUUCAGGGCUUUAUCGUGCUGCCAAUAACUCACAUAUCAGGAGUGCUGGCUCCUCUCUCCUUUAAUCAAGGAGAAGAAGAACUGCACAUCUGCAUGGCCAGUUGCUAUGAGUGCUGCCUUAUUUUGGUUUAUGACAAAGGACCAAACAAUAGGGGGUGCUUUGGGGAAAAUAUUCUUCUGUCCAGUGAAGGGAAUGCGUGCAUCCAAGCCAGAGAGGAACCAAGCAAGGAAUCUGGCUGGGCUCAGAUUGGCACAACAAAUACAAUGAGAUUUCAUCAUUCAUUCCAUGAACAACAAAGCUUCAGAAACAUAGAAUUCUGACUUCUUUUCAGAAAUCAAUUGAAAUAUUUUGUUCAAAACUGCAGGAGACUUGGUACAAAAUUCAGUGAUUGUGAAGCAAUUGUAUUAUGCAUAUGGCAUUCUUCAAGAACACAUGUGGAAUGGCUGAUCAGUACAUCAAACACAAUAGCAUACAUUAAUGGAAACAAAACAUAGUAAAGAAAACUAGGCCCUGACUUUACAGUGAUACAGUCUGAAGAUUUUAUUCCACAACCUUGAAGCCAGAUCUGGAGUAAAUUCCAAAUAUAGCAAUGCUCCUUUAAGGAAAUAAUUCAAUUUCUACUCCAAAUGUGGUUAUAUUUCUGAUAUCAACAGACUGAAUCAAAUCAUAUCUGAAAACAUGAAGAAAAUAUGAAAAAACUGUUUUGCCUAAGGAGAUAGGGUUUCAAUGAACUGAACAGAGUUAAAGGGUUAAGGAUAGAGGUUUGAAGUACUAGAAGAGAUAAAAAUGCAAGCUGAUGUAUGAAAAAAAAAAAACACAUUUCUGUGUGCAAAGCCUGUAAGAAAAAAAAAUUCCUGUUGUCAUGGAAAUUGAAACAAAACCAAAAACCAUUCCCAAUCACAAUGGAAGGCUGAGAUUUUGAAAUUUCCUUUGGAAGAAAGUUUUUAGGGAAAACUAUUAAUUUAGAGCCACUAAAACAUAUUACUCCCUACAGAUGACAUGUUUUUAUGUAGUUAAGAAUCAGGAUUUCAUUUCUAUAGUUCAGUUCACUCCUAUUUAUAUCAUCAAAAUAUUGAUAAUUGUACCUUAACAUUUACACUUAACACAUAAGAAAAACUUUUUCACUGCUACACGCAAAGUUGUUUCUAACAAAUCAAACUGAUCACAGAGAAGAUUAAAUAUUUCUGCUUCACACUUUAACUUUUAAAAUCAGACAUGAAGUGGAAAUACUAGCACUUCCUUAGAAGUGUUGUCCUGGGAAGAUAAAUCAGAUCUAUAUAGUGAUCUCAUUGUCAAAUGAGCCCUACCAAGAAAAAAAAUAGGCAAAUAUGCAAAAAAUCAGGAGUUGCCCUGGAAUAUUGCUCCUGGCAGACUGUCACACUCAUGCUCUCAAGAAUCAGUUUACUGCCUAGGAAGACAUUUCAGUAUCUUUUGACAUGUAUUCCCAGUUUCAUCCCUGAAGGCCCUUCAUGGGAAGUAUUAGUUGACACCGCAGAGGAUAUGAACAUCUCCACUUAAGCCCAAGACACUGUUACAGCUGCAAUUCAGAUGUACAAAGUUGGGUUGCAUCUCCUAUAUGUCUUCUCUUCACACCUCAGUACCCCGGUCUUUGUGAUGCAGGCAUCUAGUCCAGUAAAUUUUUAUUAAAACCAUUGAUAAGGCUGUCAGUAGAGUAAAUUUGCCCAUUCCCAGCAAACUGACAAAUUAUGCUGAGUGUUGGCUUAUUGACACAACAAUGGACUCACUGAAAAGGGUCGGGCCUCCGCCAAGAAGACAAUGAUCCAGGGGCUUUCCAAUUUCUCAGUCUCAUAUCACUUCCAACUACUCAGGUUUUCGUGACUCAGCAGAGAAUUAUUAUUAUUAUUAUUUUUAAACCUGGCUCAUUUUUGGAAUCUGCUUUAUCUUGACACAGAUUUAUGUCAGUGUGACUGAGAUAAUGGCCAGCUGGAUCUGGGACUAGGCAAGGUGCCACAAGGGAGCAGGAGGAAUCCUUAAGCCACUUUUAUCACCAACCCUUCAUCUUCGCUGUUGCUGGCUUGAGCUCAGCUCCCUAACUCCCUAAAUAAUGCUAGGAAAAAAAAAAAAAAAAAAAGCCUUUCACAAUUUCACAUAUAUUAAGAAUGUUAUAUCUGUCCAAGUCUUCUCUUCUAUAGACUAAAAAGCAUGAACAUUAAAUAAUAAUAUUAGAACAAUUUCUCUCUUGAGCCCAUCUAUCCACUUCAGUGCUCUAUUUCUGUUUACCAGCCACUAAGCAGUUACUGGUUGAUGCUAGUUCAUUUACUGGAAAGAGCCCUUUUUGAAAUGCAUUCACCAAUUAUUCCAGAGGAACAUACAUACCCAUUUGUAACUACUACUUAAAACAAAUAAUCUUCUCUCCACUCAGACUUCACAGUUAGAUUCCCUUUAAAGGACCAGGAUGGGCUCCACCAGUCUUUUCAUGUUUUGUUUUGUUUUGUUUUUUUAAGUAUGCUCAAUAAUGAAGUUCUCACUCAUAAAUUUGUUAAAAAAUUGGCUCAUUCCCUUUCUUAAAAUAUGAUUUUCUUGUAUCAGCUUUUUACCUUCCAUCUCAACCAAAUUAGACCAUUCAUUUGUCCUUACUAACCCCCAGCUGAGCAUCAUGAACAACAGUGGAAGGCAAUGGAUGAGCUACAGCAACAACAGAAGCAGCAUGGACUUUUGCUCUAUCUAAAUUCACUAAGGAACAUAAACAUUUUCCAAAGAAUACAACUAAAACUGGAUAAACACUUUUUUUUCUUUUCUUUUUGUGAAUAGAGAAUUCAUUGAAAAAGGCUGUGAAAGGGAGACCAACUUUAUUUCUGAAUCCAGCCUAUGGCUGGUGGGAAUUUUCCACAAAGCAAACAACCCAAACAAAAACAAAACAAAAAAGGCAGGAGGGAUUUUGGAACAGUGCACAUUUCAUUGUGAAAUUUUCUAAGAGCAUCUUGUUUCCAGAGAUGCUGAAAUGUUGCAUUUCAACAUAUUCAAAGAAAGAAAGAAAGAAAGAAAGAAAGAAAGAAAGAAAGAAAGAAAGAAAGGAACUCCUUUCAUUGUGAAACUUUUUGUAAAAUUUUAAAUCAGCCUAAAUUUAAUUAGAUGCAAAAAGAAUUAACCCCUCACAAUCAAAUGAAACAUGGAGUCAAGUACAGAAAAAGUUCAAGGAGUCUUAAAUUUUGGAUCUUUUAAACAAUUUUGUUCAGCAACCAAACAAAAAUCUAUUGUUCUCUUUACUAAAAUAUACUACAUUUUAUAUAACUACGACAGGACAGCACAGGGGAUGAUUUUUUUCGUUAAAGACAUUUCAUUAAAGACAGGUCCUUUUAAAGAGCUUGGCCAAAACAAAAAUCAGUUUUUCCAACAAGACCUCAACUUUUUUCCACUUUUCCACAGCUGAAGUCAUCAUUUUCACCGUAACACGAGGUCUUCUACAGCACCAUCACCCCAUUUUUGAUCAUCACACUCCUCCUUGGAAAGGACUGUAUAGGAUGAGGAAACUACUGUCCUACAUAGUUUAAAUAUCAGAAAAGAGAGGCAAAAGAAACAAUGGAAACCAGAAGUGCUGGAUGACAGAAUGGCUGGCAUAGGAUCACAUGAAACAUCAACUGAAGUCACAAGGGAAGAUCCCAAUCCUUUGCAGCCCAAAGCCGCAGCUAUCCACCAUGAAAGCAAUGUGCCUGAGCCAGCCCCGGUCUGUGCCUCCCUAUGCCUGCUUCUAUGAAAAUAUCUGCAGUCUGGGCUUCCCAAUGGAAGCAGGACUGGCUCCUGAUCCCUCCAGCACUGUAGUAAUUAUGGUAACAAAAAGCUUCUCUGCAUGCACACUCUGCCAGCACUUGAGUUUCCAUCACACUGACAAAGAUCUCUCUUAAUUAAGGUGUCGAAACUUUACAGGAUUGGCUUCCUCUGUGCUAGGCUCUCUCAGAUCCCAAAUUCCUUUUUCAGCUGCUUUUCUGACCACUUAAUUAACAAGUGAUGCAACAUCUGACUAGCCAAGAGAGGUAUCUCAAUCUCUGUGAAAGCAGUCAGAGAGAGGAAAAGUCAGCAAUUUUUCUUUCCUUUCUUCUUUUUUUUUAAUGCUCAUUAUAUAUAGUUUAUUUGAUUACUUAGUCCAACAAAGAUCGCGCUCCAGUAACUGGAAAUAUUUUGCCACGAGAGUUAUUAUUCAAAUAUUUCUGUUUUUUUUUUUUCUCACCAUGCUAUGCACUUCUCUUUUUCUCCUCCACCCAAAAGUAAAAACAAAUUAUCAUCCCAUGCAAGGUUUAUUGCAGUGACCUUAUUUGCUGAACUACAUUUGUGAUGAUGAAGUCACCUGCAUUUUAAAGGAACCAAAUACUGAAAAUACAUACGGGACAACAGAACAUAAAGCAUUUAUUCCUGACCUCAUUGCCUUUACUCAUUAUUUUAGUUUGCUGAAUAGCUGUGAACACUGCAGGGACUGUAUAUCUCAAUGCAUGGUAUGCCAAAGAGGGGGUGCUGUAUUAUCAAAACCCUCUUGGUCUACUGUCUACUAAGAGGGAAUGGUUUCAAAAUGAGACAGGGGACAUUUAGGCUAGAUAUUAGGAGGGAGUUUUUCACACAGAGGGUGGUGACACACUGGAACAGAUUGCCCAAGGAGGUUGUGGGUGCCCCAUCCCUGCAGGCAUUCAAGGCCAGGCUGGAUGUGGCUCUGGGCAGCCUGGUCUGGUGAUUGGCUACCCUGCACAUAGCAGGGGGUUGAAACUCAAUGAUCAUUGUGGCCCUUUUCAACCCAGGCCAUUCUAUGAUUCUAUGAUUCUAAGUACAGAGUGAAAAAGACCAAGGAGUGAGCUAGACUGUCCAUUCUUCCAGGUUACAUUCACUGUGCUUCCCCCACUUUUAAAUGAACAGCAGAAGGGAGACUGCAGUUAGCAAAAGUCAUACUAUGACACAGUCCUCUUCCAUGGAACAUUCUUUUCUGUAGGAGGAGAGGAGAGAAAAAGUUUCAAGACACGGGGACAAUAUUUCCCAGCAAAGCAUCAUUGCAGCACAGCUCUUGCCACCAAUCCCUUUUUUUCUCUUUCUCCUUUACUUCACUCCAGCUGCUCUCAUUGCCUCUCUCCUGAUUUCAAGACUGCGAACACAAAGACCUUGAAAAAACUGGCAUCAGAUUGAGAAAGAUGUUGUGGAUAUGGCAGAAAAUGCUGCAGUGGAUGUGGUGCAGCUAUACAACAGAAAACCACUGAUGCAGAGACAUCACCUUCUUUCCACUCGUCACCCCAACCACAGUGUUUAUAAAAGCUGUGUGGCUCAUUUGUACUGCAAACAGAUUCCCUACCCUAGCUUCCAGAUUCCUCCAUCACUUAUUUUCAUGCAGUCACAGUGGCCCUAAACAGACUAUCCUAAAACUGACAUUUCACCAACAUUACUUUCUCCUACUUCAGUGCCAGGGCAAAAAAGACAGGAAAAAAGUCUUUGAGGAAACUCUUCUCCCUCAUAUCAGUGUUUGUUUUCAAAGAAACUUCACGUUUUCAAAGCCCUUUCUGGAUAGCCCAAGACUUAAAACUUAUUAAGCAGUGCACACAGAAGUUUUCAGCAGGUGACAAUAUUGUGAAAACAAGCUCACAAAAACUGACUUCCAGCUCAAAGCACCCUUGGCAAUGGCCCACAUUCUGCCUUUACACGGUGUUGUGUAAUGGGAUCGCUUUGCAUGCACCACACACCACUGUAAUGCAGCAGCUCCUCAGCAAGUGCCAGCAUGGUAGAUGAACAGUGGUUACCUUCAGUGCCAGAUUUCUAAAAGCCCACAUAAUGAUGCUUUGACAGCUGUCCAAUCAGUAUGUAUACAUCUAGAUAUACAGAAGACUCAAAUCACUAGCCUCCCAUUUACAAAGGCAGUCUAAAAGCAAAAAGCAUGACUUCACCAAAAGCUGUUAGAACAGAACUAGAUUCAUCCCUUCUAUUAACCUUUUGUUCAUCGAAUACUGCCAGAACUCAAGUUUUGUGACUUAAGAUACAUUAAGUAUACCGUACCUAAAUAUGAAUCUACAUGUUGCCUAGAAAUGCUUCUCAUGAGACUGUAACUCAUCCUCAAAACAUGUAAUAAUAUGCCGUAGAAUCAUAUAAUUGUCAAGGUUGGAAAAGACCACCAAGAUCAUCUAGUCCAGCUGUCAGCCCAUCACAACCAUGCUCCGUAGUGCCACAUGUCCACAGUAAGACCUCCAGCAAUGGUGACUGUACCACAUCCUUCAAGACGAUUUCAAAAUAACUCCUAAAAAUUCAACCUGCCCCCAAUAUCCUGCCCACCAGCCAUUUCCCUUUCCACACUUAUCACUAUAGCUAAUUUAAUCUUUAAAAUAUCUGUCAAAGAAAAAGAUUGCCGUGCUUUUGGUAUGUUGUUUUUGUGUUUGAAAUAAAAACUGGAACGGUGAUCAAAAAAGUUGGAACAGUGAAUAAAAACUGAUUGUCCCAGGGGAUGGAGGGUGCUUACUUAAAGAAGUGGCGUUCAUUUUUAACAGCCUUAACUUCAGUAUGUUCAUCAUCUCAUUCAAUACUCCGUUACUACAGCACAGCAAGACUGUUUCUCCAUAUCCUCCUGAUCUAUUUAGAGGAAGAAAACAGAACAAAAAAAAAAAAAGUUUUUCCUUCCACCCAGGAGGCUCAUGAAGCCAUGCCCCCAAACACCAGCACCCUCCUGCUUCACACAGAACUCCUGCGCACACUUCCAAGAACUAAGCUGGCUCUUUGCACAGUGAGCUUUUCAUGUGAGCUUUACUCACCAUGCUUUUUCCCACAAUUCAGAUAUGCAAGAUUGCGAACUCUUUUCAAAGCAACAACAAACAAACAAACAACAAAGAGAUGGAUAGUUAUUUUUAUAGCUGGGGUUAUGCCACCUGGAAUUAAAUGCCAGACAUAUCUAUGUGCCUGCUGAAUGGCCUAAGUUGAUCUUCAAAUAAUUGAUAAAAAGCAGCCUGAAUUCACAGACCCAUAGAAUCGCUUGUGUUAGAAGGGACCCUUAAAGGCCAUCUAGUCCAACCCCCAUGCAAUGAACAGGGACACCUACAGCUCCAUCAGUGCUCAGAGCCCCAUUCAGCCUGAGCUUGAACGUCUCCAGGCAUGGGGCAUCCAGCACAUCUCUGGGCAACCUGUGUCAGUAUCUCACUUACCCUGUAAAAAUUUCUUCCUUAUAUUCAGUCUAAAUCUCCCCUCUUUUAACUUGAAACCAUUUCCUUUUGUCCUAUCACCAUUCACUAUCAGAAAGGAAUCCCUUUCUCUGAAAUACACAUUAUUUGUGCUGGCAAAAGUAAUGCUGGACUAGAGAAACUGAUGGAACCCCCUCAUGCUCACAGUUUCUAGGUUUCUAUGAAAUGAGGUAGAAUCUGCAAGGAUGAUUUAUAGCAUGUAGAAUCAUAGAAUCAUUAAGGUUGGAAAGACCAUUAAGAUCAUCUGGUCCAACCAUCAACCCACACGUUAACACUUCAGAACAAUACAAACUCCAGUCAGCAUGAAAAGCAGAUACAGCAUCACACCCAGAAUCUGCCCUGGAGAAUUACUGUGCUUGCAACACAAAAUAUAUUCUUGUAGCUAAUGGAAUGGCUUUAAGUCUGUGUACAAAACUCUACCUGUGAUUCCCUAAAAACACUUGGAUUACACAACAAAUAGCAUCCUCCAGAUGUCUUCAACUAAAUACUAGUGCCCUGAGCUUCUCCCUCAUUUCUGCUUUCUCUCCCAGGUUGCUUUUUAGGGGUACAGAGGGUGGGGACAUCGAAUUCAGUGACAAUAUUCUACCUUCCAAAAUGCUAUUUAUUUCAUGCAGAUCUCCUAAUUCUCUGCCUGAUACCCAGCCCGUCCUAGGGACAUCAGGCCACAAAUUUAGCAGCCCCGGGAGUAGCCCCCAGUGCCAUACAUCUCCCUCAGCACUACCAAGAGCUCAGAACCGAAUACGCAAAGGAGUGCACAGCCUCUUGUUUUCCCCACCACUGAGGCAGCUACAACCUUAAAGCUGCAGUUGUAGCCAAGCAAUAUUUCAGCAGUUUCUCCAAGCUCAGAAUUUUUUUUCUGGCUUCACAGCUGUAAUACUGGGACUUGGCUCCAUUAUUAUAUUUAUAUUAGUGCACAGGGAUAGACUUUAUAACACAUGGCAUAGUCAGAAUAUUUUAUGUUGCUUCUAGGAAGCCAAGAAAUAAUGCAAAUUUGGGUUGCAAAAGUACUGUCAGCAUGUUGUGCCUGCCUCUGCCAACACAAGUUUGUUUCCUCUGGUAUUUUAUUAUGUAUAUUUUUUAAUUACUACAGGAGGCUGAACUUCAACUUGCAGGUUAUUUCAGACUAACAGAUAGCUAGCAAGGAUUCUGGGGAAAAACUUCUUGUAAAGGAAGCUGGUUUCAGAAAUGCUACAUUGGAUUAAUGCUUACCCAGCUGCUAACACUGAGCAACUUUCAGACUUUAGGAUAAAUUCCCAUGUCUGUCUCUAUGUCGCCCAGGUUCAGAAAUCUAUAUCAGAAACACAGUCCUUCCUACACACACAGUGCUCAGAGGAGGACAGCAGCAUCAGUGGUCUAGCACUAGUAGAUAGUCCAGUGGUCUAAAAUGCAUCAUAUCAACCUUUAUGUACCUACAGGCCAGGCAUCUAACCUAACAAAAUCAUAUAUCCUUAUAGAGCCAUAGAAUCAUGGUUGGAAAAGACCAGUAAGAUUAUCUAGUCCAACCCCAACCCAUCCCCACCAUGCCCACUAACCAUGUCCCUC
Molecule: long non-coding RNA, 14901 nt
Organism: Gallus gallus (chicken)
Lineage: Eukaryota; Metazoa; Chordata; Aves; Galliformes; Phasianidae
Source: Ensembl